UCCCUGGUAGUAUAUCGGUUAGUACACGCGCCUGUCAUCUUAUGCCGUGCGCGCGAAAGCGGGGUUCGACUCCCCGCCAGGGAG
RNAcentral lists this transfer RNA (84 nucleotides) under Phlebiopsis gigantea 11061_1 CR5-6. RNAcentral's name for it is "tRNA-Asp". It matches the Rfam family "tRNA". Rfam says of the family: Transfer RNA (tRNA) molecules are approximately 80 nucleotides in length. Their secondary structure includes four short double-helical elements and three loops (D, anti-codon, and T loops). Further hydrogen bonds mediate the characteristic L-shaped molecular structure. tRNAs have two regions of fundamental functional importance: the anti-codon, which is responsible for specific mRNA codon recognition, and the 3' end, to which the tRNAs corresponding amino acid is attached (by aminoacyl-tRNA synthetases). tRNAs cope with the degeneracy of the genetic code in two manners: having more than one tRNA (with a specific anti-codon) for a particular amino acid; and 'wobble' base-pairing, i.e. permitting non-standard base-pairing at the 3rd anti-codon position. Lineage: Eukaryota; Fungi; Basidiomycota; Agaricomycetes; Polyporales; Phanerochaetaceae. The record is from RNAcentral.